RNAcentral lists this ribosomal RNA (271 nucleotides) under uncultured bacterium. RNAcentral describes it as "partial 16S ribosomal RNA". It matches the Rfam family "Bacterial small subunit ribosomal RNA", at positions 89 to 354 of the family's 1533-position model. The record is from RNAcentral.
UGGCGACCGGCGCACGGGUGAGUAACGCGUAUCCAACCUCGUCCCUUUACUAGUGGGACACGCCCGUACGAAGGCGGAUUAAUACCGUAUGUUGUCACGUUGAUGCAUAUUUUCAUGACCAAAGGCUUCGGCCGGUAAAGGAUGGGGAUGCGUCUGAUUAGCUUGCCGGCGGGGUAACGGCCCACCGGGGCGACGAUCAGUAGGGGUUCUGAGAGGAAGGUCCCCCACAUUGGAACUGAGACACGGUCCAAACUCCUACGGAAGGCAGCAG